GUUUUGUACAGUUCAUUUUUACUCCAAACUGAUCACUCGAUCUUUUAAAUGCCUAUUAUAAUUCAGCUCUGAACUGUAGUGGCACAGCAAUAAAUGGUAUGCAGCCAAACACAAAGACCAGGUUCUCCUCUUACUCCUCUUAAUGGUAACUUCCAAAAACUGCUCAAAUUUACAAGGUAGGCAGAUUUAUUGAAAUAAUAAAAACUUACAGAACAAACAAACACAUACAUAGGGCACAAUGACUGAUAAUGGUCUUCCUCAGUUUCAU
This is a non-coding RNA of Pelobates cultripes (western spadefoot toad), 268 nucleotides long. The record is from the annotation of a GenBank genome assembly. Lineage: Eukaryota; Metazoa; Chordata; Amphibia; Anura; Pelobatidae.